This 253-nucleotide ribosomal RNA is filed under the name uncultured bacterium. RNAcentral's name for it is "partial 16S ribosomal RNA". It matches the Rfam family "Bacterial small subunit ribosomal RNA", at positions 524 to 776 of the family's 1533-position model. The record is from RNAcentral.
UACGUAGGGGGCAAGCGUUAUCCGGAAUUACUGGGCGUAAAGCGCACGUAGGCGGUUCGCCAAGUCUGGUGUGACAGUCGUCGGCUCAACCGACAAAGGACUUCAAAAACUGGUGAACUUGAGGACGAGAGAGGAACAUGGAACUCCAGGUGUAGUAGUGAAAUGCGUAGAUAUCUGGAAGAACACCGAUGGCGAAGGCAGUGUUCUGGCUCGUUUCUGACGCUCAGGUGCGAAAGCCAGGGGAGCAAACAGG